AACGAACGCUGGCGGCAUGCCUAACACAUGCAAGUCGAACGAAGCCUUCGGGCUUAGUGGCGCACGGGUGCGUAACGCGUGGGAAUCUGCCCUUGGGUUCGGAAUAACAGUUAGAAAUGACUGCUAAUACCGAAUGAUGUCUUCGGACCAAAGAUUUAUCGCCCAAGGAUGAGCCCGCGUCGGAUUAGCUAGUUGGUGAGGUAAAGGCUCACCAAGGCGACGAUCCGUAGCUGGUCUGAGAGGAUGAUCAGCCACACUGGGACUGAGACACGGCCCAGACUCCUACGGGAGGCAGCAGUGGGGAAUAUUGGACAAUGGGCGAAAGCCUGAUCCAGCAAUGCCGCGUGAGUGAUGAAGGCCUUAGGGUUGUAAAGCUCUUUUACCCGGGAAGAUAAUGACUGUACCGGGAGAAUAAGCCCCGGCUAACUCCGUGCCAGCAGCCGCGGUAAU
RNAcentral lists this ribosomal RNA (450 nucleotides) under uncultured bacterium. RNAcentral's name for it is "bacterial SSU rRNA". It matches the Rfam family "Bacterial small subunit ribosomal RNA", at positions 29 to 524 of the family's 1533-position model. The record is from RNAcentral.